Molecule: ribosomal RNA, 846 nt
Filed under: Nocardia wallacei
Lineage: Bacteria; Bacillati; Actinomycetota; Actinomycetes; Mycobacteriales; Nocardiaceae
Description: bacterial SSU rRNA
Rfam family: Bacterial small subunit ribosomal RNA
Source: RNAcentral
GGCGUGCUUAACACAUGCAAGUCGAGCGGUAAGGCCCUUCGGGGUACACGAGCGGCGAACGGGUGAGUAACACGUGGGUGAUCUGCCUCGUACUCUGGGAUAAGCCUGGGAAACUGGGUCUAAUACCGGAUAUGACCACGAGUCGCAUGGUUUGUGGUGGAAAGAUUUAUCGGUGCGAGAUGGGCCCGCGGCCUAUCAGCUUGUUGGUGGGGUAAUGGCCUACCAAGGCGACGACGGGUAGCCGGCCUGAGAGGGCGACCGGCCACACUGGGACUGAGACACGGCCCAGACUCCUACGGGAGGCAGCAGUGGGGAAUAUUGCACAAUGGGCGGAAGCCUGAUGCAGCGACGCCGCGUGCGGGAUGACGGCCUUCGGGUUGUAAACCGCUUUCGACAGGGACGAAGCGUGAGUGACGGUACCUGUAGAAGAAGCACCGGCCAACUACGUGCCAGCAGCCGCGGUAAUACGUAGGGUGCGAGCGUUGUCCGGAAUUACUGGGCGUAAAGAGCUUGUAGGCGGUUUGUCGCGUCGUUCGUGAAAACUUGGGGCUCAACCCCAAGCUUGCGGGCGAUACGGGCAGACUAGAGUACUGCAGGGGAGACUGGAAUUCCUGGUGUAGCGGUGAAAUGCGCAGAUAUCAGGAGGAACACCGGUGGCGAAGGCGGGUCUCUGGGCAGUAACUGACGCUGAGAAGCGAAAGCGUGGGUAGCGAACAGGAUUAGAUACCCUGGUAGUCCACGCCGUAAACGGUGGGUACUAGGUGUGGGUUUCCUUCCACGGGAUCCGUGCCGUAGCUAACGCAUUAAGUACCCCGCCUGGGGAGUACGGCCGCAAGGCUAAAACUC